Molecule: ribosomal RNA, 819 nt
Filed under: uncultured Actinomycetes bacterium
Lineage: Bacteria; Bacillati; Actinomycetota; Actinomycetes
Description: bacterial SSU rRNA
Rfam family: Bacterial small subunit ribosomal RNA
Source: RNAcentral
ACUCCUACGGGAGGCAGCAGUGGGGAAUAUUGCACAAUGGGCGAAAGCCUGAUGCAGCGACGCCGCGUGAGGGACGAAGGCCUUCGGGUUGUAAACCUCUUUCAGCAGGGAAGAAGCGAAGGUGACGGUACCUGCAGAAGAAGCACCGGCUAACUACGUGCCAGCAGCCGCGGUAAUACGUAGGGUGCAAGCGUUGUCCGGAAUUAUUGGGCGUAAAGAGCUCGUAGGCGGUUUGUCGCGUCUGCUGUGAAAACUCAGGGCUUAACCCUGAGCCUGCAGUGGGUACGGGCAGACUAGAGUGUGGUAGGGGAGAUCGGAAUUCCUGGUGUAGCGGUGGAAUGCGCAGAUAUCAGGAGGAACACCGGUGGCGAAGGCGGAUCUCUGGGCCAUAACUGACGCUGAGGAGCGAAAGCAUGGGGAGCGAACAGGAUUAGAUACCCUGGUAGUCCAUGCCGUAAACGUUGGGCGCUAGGUGUGGGGCUCAUUCCACGAGUUCCGUGCCGCAGCUAACGCAUUAAGCGCCCCGCCUGGGGAGUACGGCCGCAAGGCUAAAACUCAAAGGAAUUGACGGGGGCCCGCACAAGCGGCGGAGCAUGCGGAUUAAUUCGAUGCAACGCGAAGAACCUUACCAAGGCUUGACAUACAGGGAAAACUGUCAGAGAUGGCAGGUCCGCAAGGGUCCUGUACAGGUGGUGCAUGGUUGUCGUCAGCUCGUGUCGUGAGAUGUUGGGUUAAGUCCCGCAACGAGCGCAACCCUCGUUCUAUGUUGCCAGCGGAUAAUGCCGGGGACUCAUAGGAGACUGCCGGGGUCAACUCGGA